This 570-nucleotide ribosomal RNA is filed under the name uncultured bacterium. RNAcentral's name for it is "bacterial SSU rRNA". It matches the Rfam family "Bacterial small subunit ribosomal RNA", at positions 8 to 566 of the family's 1533-position model. The record is from RNAcentral.
AGAGUUUGAUCAUGGCUCAGGACGAACGCUGGCGGCGUGCUUAACACAUGCAAGUGGAGCGACGAACCAGGGCUUGCCCUGGGGCAGGCCGCGAACGGGUGAGUAACACGUGGGUAACGUGCCCCGAUGACUGGGACAACCCGGGGAAACCCGGGCUAAUACCGGAUAUGCCCCCUCACGCGAGUGAGGUGUGUAAAGGAAGCUUCGGCCUCCGCAUCGGGAUCGGCCCGCGGCGCAUUAGCUUGUUGGUGAGGUAACGGCUUACCAAGGCAACGAUGCGUAGCUGGUCUGAGAGGACGAUCAGCCACACUGGGACUGAGACACGGCCCAGACUCCUACGGGAGGCAGCAGUGGGGAAUCUUGCGCAAUGCGCGAAAGCGUGACGCAGCAACGCCGCGUGGGGGAAGAAGGCCUUCGGGUUGUAAACCCCUUUCAGUUGGGACGAAGUGUGGGCGGUUAAUAGCCAUUCCACAUGACGGUACCUUCACAAGAAGCCCCGGCUAACUACGUGCCAGCAGCCGCGGUAAUACGUAGGGGGCAAGCGUUGUCCGGAAUCAUUGGGCGUAAAGA